CAGCAGCCGCGGUAAUACGUAGGGUGCAAGCGUUAAUCGGAAUUACUGGGCGUAAAGCGUGCGCAGGCGGUUAGAUAAGCCAGAUGUGAAAUCCCCGAGCUCAACUUGGGAACCGCGUUUGGAACUGUUUAACUAGAGUGCGUCAGAGGGGGGUAGAAUUCCGCGUGUAGCAGUGAGAUGCGUAGAGAUGCGGAGGAACACCGAUGGCGAAGGCAGCCCCCUGGGAUGACACUGACGCUCAUGCACGAAAGCGUGGGGAGCAAACAGGAUUAGAUACCCCUGUAGUCCCUGUCUCUUAUAC
RNAcentral lists this ribosomal RNA (301 nucleotides) under uncultured bacterium. RNAcentral describes it as "partial 16S ribosomal RNA". It matches the Rfam family "Bacterial small subunit ribosomal RNA", at positions 509 to 807 of the family's 1533-position model. The record is from RNAcentral.